RNAcentral lists this long non-coding RNA (387 nucleotides) under Mus spicilegus (steppe mouse). Its description in RNAcentral is "lncRNA (ENSMSIG00000009864.1)". The record is from RNAcentral. Lineage: Eukaryota; Metazoa; Chordata; Mammalia; Rodentia; Muridae.
GAAUCUUUUAGAAGUGACUUUUAAAAUCAGAGGCAUAGAAAUGGAAAAAAGCUGCGCCCCCAUGAAAUUGGUCUUCAAGAAGAAAUGACUCGGAUGUGAUCCAUGGUGGUGGCAGGGAAUCACCUAAGUGCAAGCCAGGUUCCAAGUGACCAGUGGGAAAGACCUGAAGUGUGGCCACACCUCUUCCUUGCAUACUCCAGCCCAGAGACAUGUGGCCUGGGCAGAGGCGCUGUCUCUGGUCCAGCCCGGGGAAGGCAGAAGAACACUUUCUUUCAGUUUCUGGAAAAGAUGCUCUGGCCUCUAAUUCUUCACCUACCUGAAGUAGAUGUCUCCUCCAGCUCUAACGUUCCCUGUGGUGGCCAGGUGAGGGCUGUGGCUCAGAGAUGA